Molecule: transfer RNA, 68 nt
Filed under: Urocitellus parryii (Arctic ground squirrel)
Lineage: Eukaryota; Metazoa; Chordata; Mammalia; Rodentia; Sciuridae
Also listed under: 1 other name
Description: Spermophilus parryii (Arctic ground squirrel) tRNA
Rfam family: tRNA
About the family: Transfer RNA (tRNA) molecules are approximately 80 nucleotides in length.
Source: Rfam by way of RNAcentral
GUGGUGGCUCAGUGAUAGAGCACCUGCCUAAUAUGUGCGAGACACUGGGUUCGAUUCCCAGCACCACA